This is a long non-coding RNA of Cyanistes caeruleus (blue tit), 389 nucleotides long. RefSeq lists it as uncharacterized. The record is from RefSeq and is a predicted model, not a curated record. NCBI's taxonomy places the organism in Eukaryota, Metazoa, Chordata, Aves, Passeriformes, Paridae.
CCUCGGACACCCCGUCCCGGCAGCGCUUCCCCCGCCGCCGGGGGGUUUGAGCCGGCGGAGAGCCGAGGCGCUGGGCUGCGGAGCGCUGCCCACCGGGCACGCCGCGCACCCAGCUCGGUUUGACCCGCUGGUCUGCGCGGGCGCCUCGAAGUGUCUGGGCUCCCCAGUUUAGGCUGUGUGAGCUAAGCAGGUAUUAAGGGACAAGCCCUGCCUGUGGAGCUUGAAUGGACAGAAGAAAAGAUAAAAGAAAGGAGAGGCAACCUGAGUUUUGCAAGACCUUGUUUAGGAAGAAUACUUGAGAAAAUUUAAAUGACCUUAAAGAGAAAAAUUAGUUUAAAGCUGAUUAAAAUCUGGAUUUGAACUUUUAACAAUACACACUAAUUUUGUGA